UGGGGAAUUUUGCGCAAUGGGGGGAAACCCUGACGCAGCAACGCCGCGUGAGUGAUGAAGGCCUUCGGGUCGUAAAGCUCUGUCAGAGGGGAAGAAGUGCAGGGGUGCUAAUAUCACCUUUGUUUGACGGUACCCUCAAAGGAAGCACCGGCUAACUCCGUGCCAGCAGCCGCGGUAAUACGGAGGGUGCGAGCGUUGUUCGGAAUUAUUGGGCGUAAAGCGCGUGUAGGCGGUUUGGUAAGUCUGAUGUGAAAGCCCCGGGNUCAACCUGGGAAUGGCAUUGGAAACUUUCAGACUUGAAUACAGGAGAGGGUAGUGGAAUUCCAGUGUAGGAUGAAAUCCGUAGAUAUUAGGAGGAACACCGGUGGCGAAGGCGGCACCUGGACCGAUAUGACGCUG
This 399-nucleotide ribosomal RNA is filed under the name uncultured bacterium. RNAcentral describes it as "bacterial SSU rRNA". It matches the Rfam family "Bacterial small subunit ribosomal RNA", at positions 355 to 748 of the family's 1533-position model. The record is from RNAcentral.